RNAcentral lists this transfer RNA (74 nucleotides) under Candidatus Pacearchaeota archaeon. Its description in RNAcentral is "tRNA-Pro". It matches the Rfam family "tRNA". Rfam says of the family: Transfer RNA (tRNA) molecules are approximately 80 nucleotides in length. Lineage: Archaea; Nanobdellati. The record is from RNAcentral.
GGGGCUGUAGGGUAGCCUGGUUAUCCUUCGAGCUUUGGGAGUUCGCGACCCCAGUUCAAAUCUGGGCAGCCCCA